This 340-nucleotide unclassified non-coding RNA is filed under the name Hevea brasiliensis (rubber tree). The record is from RNAcentral. Lineage: Eukaryota; Viridiplantae; Streptophyta; Magnoliopsida; Malpighiales; Euphorbiaceae.
GAGAGAACAAAGUCCAGUUAUCUAAUAAGUCAAAAACCAAGUAAAACUGUAAGUACAAAAUCAAGAAAUUAGCAUACAAUUCUGAUACAGUGCUAAAAUUGUUCAUAAAAACAAAAGAAAAUAUUUAGAAUUUAAAAUGAUUUAUUCUAAUGACAUUGAAGCCUUUUCUGUUGCCAUCCUACUUUAUUAAGACAAUAUGAAAUAGAUGAAAAUGGAGGACCAAAUAUUUUAGUUUCUAAUGGAAAUAAGUAAUAAAAUUCCCAACGAAAUGGUAACCUUCUGUUUUGCAUAACAUAAAACAGAUUAAACUCUGAAUUAGAAUACCUAAAAAUGCAGAAAG